This 82-nucleotide transfer RNA is filed under the name Arsukibacterium tuosuense. Its description in RNAcentral is "Rheinheimera tuosuensis tRNA_Leu_TAG". It matches the Rfam family "tRNA". From Rfam's summary of the family: Transfer RNA (tRNA) molecules are approximately 80 nucleotides in length. The record is from RNAcentral. RNAcentral also lists the same sequence under 1 other name. Lineage: Bacteria; Pseudomonadati; Pseudomonadota; Gammaproteobacteria; Chromatiales; Chromatiaceae.
GCGGGAAUGGCGGAAUUGGUAGACGCACUGGAUUUAGGUUCCAGCGCCGCGAGGCGUGAGAGUUCGAGUCUCUCUUUCCGCA